RNA transcript from Heteronotia binoei (common prickly gecko), 1536 nucleotides. It is a transcript of the gene named heparan sulfate-glucosamine 3-sulfotransferase 1, with no coding region annotated. The record is from RefSeq and is a predicted model, not a curated record. NCBI's taxonomy places the organism in Eukaryota, Metazoa, Chordata, Lepidosauria, Squamata, Gekkonidae. The transcript has 2 exons.
UUUUCCUUCUCGCCAGUCGUGCGGCCGCUUCUCCUCCUCCUCCGGCGGCAGCGCGGCGCUGUUGUGGGUGCGCCCGACGCCGCCCGGGCUGAUGGCGCAGCUGGAGCCACCGAGCCCGCCGGGCAGGCAACGCUGCGCCGCCUUCCCCACUGAAUAAACUAUUUAAGGAAGAUACCUUCGCUCCCCAAGAGGUCUUUCUGCUUCCAAGGUGGCUCUUUACAGCAGUCCCUUCAUGUCUUGUUUUCUGGCUUUGUGACAAAAGACUCCAGGCCUUCGCCAUGGCUGUUGUUUUGCUGGGAACAGUCCUGCUUAUUGUCCAGCCUCAGGUGGUGCCUUCAAGACCAACUGUGAGCUCUAAGGGUGAAGCUACAGUGCAACUGGCUCAGAAAGAGCCCUUUAAGAAAAACAAUUUCAAAGAAACUAUCCCCCCAAAUGGGACAUUCCAGCAACUUCCUCAGACUGUCAUCAUUGGAGUUCGGAAAGGUGGAACCAGAGCCCUGCUAGAGAUGCUGAGCCUCCAUCCAGAUAUAGCAGCAGUGGAAAGUGAAGUCCACUUUUUUGACUGGGAAGAGCAUUUCAGAAAUGGAUUGCAGUGGUAUGCCAACCAAAUGCCAUUCUCUUAUCCACAGCAGAUAACAGUAGAGAAAACCCCAGCAUAUUUCACCUCCCCUAAAGUGCCUGAAAGAGUUUAUAGCAUGAACAAACUCAUUAGAUUGCUGCUUAUUUUGCGGGACCCCACGGAGAGAGUGUUGUCAGACUAUACACAAGUGUUCUUCAACCAUAUGCAAAAAUGUAAGCCGUAUCCCUCCAUUGAAGAGUUCCUAGUUAAAAAUGGAGAACUCAAUGUUAACUACAAGGCAAUAAACCGGAGCUUGUAUUACAUUCACAUGCAAAACUGGCUGAAGUAUUUUCCUCUGGAUCACAUUCACAUUGUAGAUGGUGACAAGCUGAUCAAAGAUCCAUUCCCAGAAAUCGUAAAGGUAGAAAGGUUUUUGAAGUUGAUGCCUCAGAUAAAUGCUUCAAACUUUUACUUCAAUAAAACAAAAGGUUUUUACUGCCUAAGAGACAGUGGGAGGGACCGAUGUUUACAUGAGUCGAAAGGAAGAGCACACCCAAAAGUAAAUCCAGUUUUACUUAAAAAACUGCAGGGAUAUUUUCAUGAACCUAAUCGGAAGUUUUUUGAGCUUGUGGGCAGAAUGUUUGACUGGCACUAGAUAUGGUGGUUGGGUAGAGAAGGUUCUGUGGAGCCCAGGAUGCUACAGUGUGCAUUUAGAAGAGGAGGGCAUGUAAGCUAUAAUUUAUUUGUAAAAUCCAUACAUUACUUCUGUAAAGUAUUGGAUUAAUAAUUUCCAUACAAACUAGUAAUAUUUUUCUACUUGUUAAAAUGUUUGUAAUGUUUUUCAUGGCUGUUAACACCAUAUGUUAUGUCUAUAUGACGAAACAAGCUAUUUCAUGGAACAAAGUCUCUAGAGAUUGUGGCUUUUAAGUGUAUGUGUAUAUACAAAAUACAUAUACGAUAUUACAUGAUCUUAAAAA